GGAGGGGGCAAGCGUUAUUCGGAUUUACUGGGCGUAAAGCGCACGUAGGUGGCAUGGUAAGUCAAAGGUGAAAGCCCUCGGCUCAACCGAGGAAUUGCCUUUGAAACUGCUUUGCUUGAGUCCGGGAGGGGGGAGCGGAAUUCCCAGUGUAGCGGUGAAAUGCGUAGAUACUGGGAGGAACACCGGUGGCGAAGGCGGCUCCCUGGACCGGUACUGACACUGAGGUGCGAAAGCGUGGGUAGCAAACAGGAUUAGAUACCCUGGGUAGUCCACGCCGUAAACGAUGGGCACUAGGUGCAGCGGGUGUCGACCCCCCUGCUGUGCCGUAGUUAACGCAUUAAGUGCCCCGCCUGGGGAGUACGGUCGCAAGGCUG
Molecule: ribosomal RNA, 374 nt
Filed under: uncultured organism
Description: partial 16S ribosomal RNA
Rfam family: Bacterial small subunit ribosomal RNA
Source: RNAcentral